Molecule: non-coding RNA, 95 nt
Organism: Mycena leptocephala
Lineage: Eukaryota; Fungi; Basidiomycota; Agaricomycetes; Agaricales; Mycenaceae
Source: the annotation of a GenBank genome assembly
GCAUCGAUGGUGUAUGGUACACCCGCCGACAGAAUGGGUGGAUCAUUUAACAGUCAUUAGAACGGCGAGCUGGGGUUCGAUUCCCCGUCGAUGCA